This 240-nucleotide long non-coding RNA is filed under the name Medicago truncatula (barrel medic). RNAcentral describes it as "long non-coding RNA (MTRU_LNC000361)". Lineage: Eukaryota; Viridiplantae; Streptophyta; Magnoliopsida; Fabales; Fabaceae. The record is from RNAcentral.
ACAAUACGUAAGGAAUAGAAAGACAACAAUAAAAUUCCCAUCCCGUUACGUAUCAGAGCACCUAAAGACACACAUGAGAGCUAAUCCACUCACAACAGCAAUCUAACAGCAACUUAAACUCGAUCACCUGCAAGUUACUCAUACGAAGAGCAACAUUUUCAAGCAGAAGGGGUGAGAUUUCACAAAACAAUAAUAUCAAGCAUAUAAUUCAAUAAUUAUAUUUAACAACAUAAAUAACUU